Long non-coding RNA from Cotesia glomerata, 153 nucleotides. RefSeq lists it as uncharacterized. Lineage: Eukaryota; Metazoa; Arthropoda; Insecta; Hymenoptera; Braconidae. The record is from RefSeq and is a predicted model, not a curated record. The transcript has 4 exons.
AUUCUGAAAAAUGGAUUUUGUAAUUUUAUCUAAUGAAAAAACUGCUCGCGUCUGAUGGACUUGAACCCGGUACCUCAUGGUUGACAGUCUUCUACGCUACUCAUUGGCUUAAGUCACGUUCUUACAAGAUCUGUUUAUUUAACUUAUAAGAAU